GAGUUUUGUAACUCGUCGAAAGGGCAAAAUCGACAUUUCUCACACACUAGUAUAAAUAGGAAUAGAAACCCUAAAACCUCAAAACUCUCCUCUCUCCCUCUCGGCCGCAUCUCUCUCUCCCCUGACCUCUCGCUCACUCUCUUCUUCUUCCCUCUGCCACCACCGGAGACCCUAGCUACGGCCACCAUCUCAUCACACCGCUUCCACCAGUCGACGCCGCACCUAUACCCGACCAAAACCCACCUGGAAUCACCGCCAUGCAUCAACCCCAACCUUCACACGCAAUUCCCGAAGCUACGAAACCACUGUAGGUCAUCUCUCCUUGAAUUCCGACCAUAAUCUCGCACACAUCGCCGCUAUUUCUUGGCUCAGUAGACAUGGAGGAGGAAAACCCAGAAGUCUAGCCACCCACCGAAGCCGGACAAGGCUGCACGAGCGCCGCCGGAAUCUCUCCUUCUGUUGAGAUCGAUUCACCGUUCUCCGGCCUCGCCUGAGCGAUACCACCUCCAGAAAUAGGAUCAGCGUCGCGUCAAUCGCCAAAACCCUAGACCCCCGACCUCUAGCUCCGACCUGAGCCGACAUAGCGCCGCUAUGCUCCACCGCCAACUUCCAGACCUUCUCUACUAGGUAAAUUCAUCACCUUUCUUUGGAUAAAGCCUUUUGGCUGUUACGAAUCAAAGCCCUAACCUGAUUGUUUAAUAUGAGAUGUGAGGUUUUGAGGAGUCUGCGAAUUUGGGAUUUUUGGAGAGGAGAAGCUCCUAUGAUAGUUUUGAUUGAUAUCGACAGAAGGGGAUCUGAAAGGUUGGUGGUGGAAAUGCAGCUACAACGAAAUUGGUAUCUGUUUUGGAGAAGAAGAAGCGGUGAGUAUUGGUCUCUGACAAGCUAUGGGAUUUGGUGUGGUAAUUGUAUUUUGAAGUGAAAUUUGGUGUGCUGCUUGAAUGGUUGAAUGCUUGAAUGUAUGGAAAGAAUUGGGUUGUCAAUUAAAUUGGUUUGGCUGUUAUUAA
Molecule: long non-coding RNA, 1004 nt
Organism: Rosa chinensis
Lineage: Eukaryota; Viridiplantae; Streptophyta; Magnoliopsida; Rosales; Rosaceae
Exons: 2
Source: RefSeq, a predicted model, not a curated record